GCCAGGCUUCCUGGAGGGGUGGGGUCUGCGUUGGAGGCCCCCCAGCCGACCUUGGACCUUGUCGGGCACGUGGGUCUGGCUCGAUCAGCUGCAGGGCAGCAGCUCCCACGGCCCUCUCCUUUGGGACACUCUGGGGUCAGAUCCCGUCACCCACUGGGGCCGGGUGCUGCUGUGCGUCCCCGUUAGAGCAGAGGGCCCUGGCUAAGCACAGCCCCUGCCUCUCCUAAAUGGCAUUCAGAGUGGACCCUAAAUCCAAUGACAAGUGUUCUUAUAAGAGAAAGGCGGAGGGAGACUAGAGAAAGACUCAAGGAGAACGUCAUGUGAAGAUGGAGGCAGAGAUUGGGGUGAUGCCUCUACAAGCCAAGGAGCCCCCAAAAUUCCCUGGACCAGAUUCUCCCUCACAACCCUGGGAGGAACCAACUCUGCUGACAGCUCCCUCUUGGACAUCCAGCCUCCAGGACUGCGAGAAGUAAACUGCUAUUGUCUGCGCCCCGUCCGCAGUGCCUUGUUACGGCCGUCCGAGCGGACUCACACAGGUGGAUUUGGGAGGACCUAUCCUCCUGCCUUCUCAUUUUGGCCAAUUCAAAUAAACCUUUCCGCAUCUCCAAGCACUGCGUCUCAGUGACUGGUUUCCUGUGCAUCGGGCACACAAACUUGAGAUUAAGAGGUUCGGUAUCAGGAGUGAUGGUGAGUGAGGCCACCCCCGCUCUAUCCCUCAUUCCAAGACUCAAUGGGGAUGGUGCACCACAUGGUGCUUGUUGGUUUAGAGUGAAUGCUGCAUCCUGCAACGUGAUGCCCCAUUCUCAAAUGGUGUCAGCCCAGCGGUGGCCUCAGCUGAGCUUUCCAAAGGCAGCUCCCAUGCUCUGGGGGGCUGGCGGCCUCUGAGUGCUGUGGUCUCUGCUGGGAACUGCAUGGCCACAGGCCCACUGCCACACCUCCUGUCAAGUCAUAAAGUGGGUCCCUUGGUCCAGGGUGAUGCCAUGCACAUCCCGUGUUGGUGGGUCAAACACUUUAUAAGUCCUCAUAGAGUGGGGUGGGCUGAGAUCCUGUGGUCGGGGAUGAUCAGCCUGGUGUGUGUGUCAGUUCCACUGAGGAUGCAAAGCUGCCCCUUGCAGUGGGAAGUCUCCAAAGUGAGUGGUUUACCUGAACGCCCCCCUCAAGGGUGGCACCAUAGCUGGGGCUCAAUAGCAGCCUGUGACUGGCAGGUUGGACAUUUGGCUGCGGUCCUAGCUGGAUCAGCCUUGGUGGAUGAGGCCAUGCUGUUGGCCCCAUAGACAGCCUCCACGUCUGUCCCCAAGGCUACCCCAUUCAUUGGCCCAGUGGGCCAGCAUUUGGGAGGCCAGUGUCAGAGGCCAUUCUACCUGUCGGUUGCUUAUUGCCUCUCCUGGAGGACACAAACACGUGGUACCAAGAUCUUGCCCCUCACGGCCAAUCCCGUAGGUUUACCACGUGCCUCUUCCCCAGGGGCGCAGGGCAGGAUAACGGCCCCCCAGAGAUAUCCAGGGCUCCUUCUUACUGGGGGUGGAAUAGGACUCACUCGCGAGAUUGGUGGCCACGUACCAUGUACCCAACGCUGUGUCACUCUGCUCUAGCGAAGAUGUCAUAGCUGGCCCAGCAGCUGCCACUGGGCGACUGCUCGGUUGACUUAUGUACUGGUCAGGGUCCUCCAGAGGGACACAGCCAAUAGGAU
RNAcentral lists this long non-coding RNA (1690 nucleotides) under Equus caballus (horse). RNAcentral's name for it is "lncRNA (ENSECAG00000059077.1)". Lineage: Eukaryota; Metazoa; Chordata; Mammalia; Perissodactyla; Equidae. The record is from RNAcentral.